This 71-nucleotide transfer RNA is filed under the name Loxodonta africana (African savanna elephant). It matches the Rfam family "tRNA". From Rfam's summary of the family: Transfer RNA (tRNA) molecules are approximately 80 nucleotides in length. Their secondary structure includes four short double-helical elements and three loops (D, anti-codon, and T loops). Further hydrogen bonds mediate the characteristic L-shaped molecular structure. tRNAs have two regions of fundamental functional importance: the anti-codon, which is responsible for specific mRNA codon recognition, and the 3' end, to which the tRNAs corresponding amino acid is attached (by aminoacyl-tRNA synthetases). tRNAs cope with the degeneracy of the genetic code in two manners: having more than one tRNA (with a specific anti-codon) for a particular amino acid; and 'wobble' base-pairing, i.e. permitting non-standard base-pairing at the 3rd anti-codon position. Lineage: Eukaryota; Metazoa; Chordata; Mammalia; Proboscidea; Elephantidae. The record is from Rfam by way of RNAcentral.
GCAGUAGUGUUUCAGUGGUAGAAUUCCUGCCUUCCAUACAGGAGACCUGUGUUUAAUUCCCAGCCAGUGCA